AUUGGUGUACUGCCUUUUUUUUUUUUCCCUUUGCACAGCAAAACACUAUAUUCUUCCGAUUAUUUUUUUUAUUUUUUUUUUUACGGCACCAGCAGGCACCAGAGUUCAUGUUCAUCACGGCUUUGGGCCAAAUGAAGCACAAAACUGCAGCUGUGUGAACCAAGGCCCCCACAGUGCUACUCUCCUGGCUGAUAAAUGCGUACCUCAGUGUGGUGCUGCUCGCCUAGAAUAGUUUAUUGAAGGCAAGAUGCAUUUAAAUAGGGCACAGUGGUAGCAUGUUAAUCUGCCACAGAUAAUAGUUAGACUGCAGUGCGUUUAUUUGUUGCUAUCAACAACGUAGUUGCAAAUUUGGGGGCACGACAGACAAUAUAAAAGCUGAUUUUAUGGCUUCUGCCGGGCUACAGCAAAUUGUUUGUUACAACGUGGAGGCAACAGGUGAUUUUUUUUUUUAAGCUCCCCUAUACUUUCUCCUAGCCAAACAGCAAAGUAAAAUGGGCUUUAGAGCUGCUGCUGCCCCAGCCGGUUGUUCGGUGGUUACAAGGUUUGCAGAAGAAGUGACAGGAGCAGAUUUUGGUGGGAUUUUGUUGGUUUUUCUCUCCCUGUCAUGCUCAGCCGAAGCGCUGAAGAGGGCCAGGAAAGCAAACACCCCUCUGGGUGACAGAGGUGCCCCUCCAUCGGGGCAACUUCUUAUUUCUCUCCCUAUAAUUUGCUGGAAAAGGCUUUGGGAGGAGGCAGCAGGAGCCAAGACACCAGCCCAAGGGAACUGAACCCCCCCCUUGUUCUCCUCCGUGUGUUUGCCAAGGCUACCAGCUCACACAUGGGGAUUUACCUUCCCUUGCUUCUCUCUUUGGGUGGAGGGGGAAGUCACCCGAGGUAUCUAACAGCAGUUCAGGGAGCCCAUCUCAUCUUGCAUGAAUGUUUUUGGGAGAUGAGGGCUAUUACCGGGCCCUUCUGCAGUUAAUUACAUUGUAACUCAAGGCAUUUUUUUCCAGUAUUAUGGAAAUGGCAGAUCCUCUCCUACUGAUCUCUUUUAAACAUUUCUCCUGUUUGUAAGAACCGCUCCAAGCGGGAAGCUACCAUGGACCUGAAUAAUUGAAGCAAUAUUAUCUAUGAUAAUAUGUACCUCUGUCAUUUUCUGUUCCGAUGGAUUAUUAUUUCUUCUUUUUUUUACUUUUUUUUUUUUUUGCAAUAAACAUCACACUACUAGCAAUAACAUUUCCUGGAGCGCUUGAAGGGCCAUAAAAGCUGGUCCAGUAAACUGAGCAGUUGGUUCCCCCAGCCUGUUCCUGGUUACACAGUUCAAAAAAAGUGGCUGUCAGCUGUUUCUUAAUUGGGAGAUUCAAAAAAAAAUAUCACACUACCCUGCUCUGGUGGGGCAGGAUACUGCCAUAGGCGCCUGGGGGUGCACGGCGCCUGCGGCUCUUCCUCGAGUCGGGCUUUUUGGGCAGAAAAAGGGAAAAUGAAAACCUGCCCUCCCUCUCCAGGGGGGUCUGUGUCCCCUGAUAAAGCUCGAUGGUGACUGUGAGAUGGUUUUGCAGAGCUGGGUUUCUCACCCUGGUACCUGCCCCCCCCGCCCACGAUGUCGCCACCGUUCGCCAAACGAGAUGAAAUGGAGUAAUUAAGGGUUGUGAUGAACUAGUUUGGCUUCUGCUCUCUCUACCUGGAGAAGGAGCUUGUCUGGGUUAUACGUAUGUGCUGGGUUUUUAAAGAUUGUGUAAUAAAGGAAAAAUUGAUCCAAUUAAAAGUGCAUUGCAAA
Long non-coding RNA from Calidris pugnax (ruff), 1756 nucleotides. RefSeq lists it as uncharacterized. Lineage: Eukaryota; Metazoa; Chordata; Aves; Charadriiformes; Scolopacidae. The transcript has 2 exons. The record is from RefSeq and is a predicted model, not a curated record.